CGACGUGGGGAACCUGCCCUAUACAGGGGGAGUAACAGCUGGAAACGGCUGCUAAUACCGCAUAAGCGCACAGAAUCGCAUGAUUCAGUGUGAAAAGCCCUGGCAGUAUAGGAUGGUCCCGCGUCUGAUUAGCUGGUUGGUGAGGUAACGGCUCACCAAGGCGACGAUCAGUAGCCGGCUUGAGAGAGUGAACGGCCACAUUGGGACUGAGACACGGCCCAA
This 222-nucleotide ribosomal RNA is filed under the name uncultured bacterium. RNAcentral describes it as "partial 16S ribosomal RNA". It matches the Rfam family "Bacterial small subunit ribosomal RNA", at positions 113 to 334 of the family's 1533-position model. The record is from RNAcentral.